RNA transcript from Hippocampus zosterae (dwarf seahorse), 1155 nucleotides. It is a transcript of the gene named neuronal acetylcholine receptor subunit non-alpha-3-like, with no coding region annotated. The record is from RefSeq and is a predicted model, not a curated record. The transcript has 3 exons. Lineage: Eukaryota; Metazoa; Chordata; Actinopteri; Syngnathiformes; Syngnathidae.
UACGACGGUCAUUGCAGCAUUGCUACGGCAACAAAUAUAAUUAAUUUUGCAUAGUACUACACUGAUUGUUGCAUAACGUGGUAAUUUCCACAUUCCAUUCCCUCCUGUAACGAAAUACUGACUACAGAUGAUGUCCUUUCCAGGAUAUUCCUUGAUAUGUAUCUAUUUUUUUGUCUUUCCUUACCGCAGGUGAUCCCAUUAAUUGGAGAAUACUUGCUCUUUAUUAUGAUCUUUGUCACCUUCUCCAUUAUUGUAACCGUUUUCGUCAUUAAUGUCCAUCACCGCUCCUCUGCAACUUACCACCCCAUGGCACCCUGGGUGAAGACCCUUUUCCUUCAGAGACUCCCCAGGCUGCUGUGUAUGCGGGGGCACACGGACAGAUACCACUCCUCGGAUAUUGCCAUAAGCAGCCAUGAGCUGAAGCCUUGCAAGGGUAUCGGAAAAAAACGGGCUCCCGGACAGCAGAGAAGGCCCCUGGGAGGGAAGGAGGAGGAGAAUCAAGCCUGGCUUUCAAUGCUGGAGAAAGCCACGCAUUCUGUCCGCUACAUCAGUCAUCACAUCAGAAAAGAGCACUUCAGCCGUGAGGUCUGUGGCUUUGAGGGAUACUUUUGGAUGCAAUGAGGCAUAGUUGUACAAGACUGGAAGUUUGUGGCUCAGGUGUUGGAUAGGAUUUUCCUGUGGGCCUUCCUCACUGUGUCAAUAUUAGGAACUGUCCUCAUCUUCACACCAGCCUUGCAGAUGUACCUCAGCUCAUCAUAAUGAACAUAUACGCACUUUUCUUCUGGAAUUCCUGUUUUUCAGAGUGCAGUUAGAAUAAAAUUUACAUUCAUUUUUUGUUUUGUUUAAGUAAGUUCUACCCCCAAACUUGAAACCCCCAUUUAUUAAUUAGCAUGCACAAAAUAAUGAGGACAAAUAGCAAGCGGCAGGUAAGAGUUGCAUGAAUCGUUUUAAACAGCAAUUUACAUACAGUGUAUAAAUGUCACCGAUGCAAUACUUAAAACCGUAGAACCAAUACCAUUCACCAAUAUAUUGAUUUGCAUCCAACAGAGCCUGCUUGGCAAGGCGCUCACUACUCUGUAAUUGUAAUAAUGUUUUUAAUAAAAAGGUGUAAUUGUCAAUACUGAAAAUAUUCAUUAAAUUGAGAGUUGAUAACUU